CUUUGUCUUCCUUACUAUUUGUGUAAUAUAUACAGUAUUGAUAUAAAUUUAUUAAACUAUAUACAGUAUAGCAUGCAAGUUGUAUGUUUUAUAAAACACAACCCACACGCAGAGAAAGUGAAUUUUGUCCAAUUUUGUGUCAAAUUGUCUCAUCCUUCACUCAUUUUAUUGAUGGUCAUUUAGUUAAUAAUUUUUUCUCUGUGCGGCUAGUAGGCAAAUUAAUCCUAUUGUUUAUAUUUUUAUACACUUGAUGGAUAAUCAUUAUUUACUCGAAGUAAAUAAUAAAGAAAUAGAAUAAACUUAUGACAAUUCUCUUGCAGCUUAAGAAAAGGUUGAUGUAUAAAAAAAGAGUUGACGAAUAAGACGUGAGGAAACUCUGGUCCCGUAACCGAGUAGAAAAUGUUUGUUUCAACCAUUUCCUUAAUUAAAUCCACCGCUUAAUUUGUCAAAUGUUCCAUUAGUCGCGGGAUAAGGAUUUACAUUAUUUUGUCGCAAAAUGGUUGCUUCUUUUAUAUUUUAUAGUUGAACUGAAUAUAAAUUAUAUAGUCCAGAAUAUAAUUACGAGUCAAACUUAAAGCCGGAGCUUGCAUUAUUAUCGACAAUUGUCUCUUUUUCUAUUACAAAGGUUUUUUCAUUAAUAUAUAUAUAUACAAAGAAUCUAUAUAUAAAAAAAGUUUACUUUCUCUUGGAUACGCCACGUCAGCAGCCACAUAGAAAAGUAAUGCAUGGAGGAGCUGACACAUAUCUCCUCCAUCAAAACACAUUGUUUCAAUUAAAUCAAUAUGCAAUUAAUGUGGGCUUUAUUAUGUUUUUGGGCUUAUGUUUGGAUGAAGAGACCCAGUUAACCCUAAUUUUAUUUUUUACGCAUAUUCUCCGUCGUUGGAGUGAUUGGGUUGCUGAAGUCGGUGAUGAAUCUGUUCGUGGGGUUUCGAUCGCGUCUUCUGAUCUUCUUUUUCAUCAACCAAAAUGCCCAGUUACAGAUUCGUCUCAUUAAACAUCUUCUUAACUCCAUCAACCAUGAUCUGUCCUUGAAUGUGAGAUUCUCUUUUGUGAGGCGGUGUCACUGCCAGUAUAAAAAGAUGAUGAUUUAAAAUCAAAGUCUUUAAAAGCUGAGUUUGCGUCUGUAAAUAGUGUUGGCAAUAAGCAGGAGGAGUUUGGUCGCAGUUUCUGUAUUGCAGUCAAGAGAUUGCAACACAUAAAAGGAUUACUAAAUGUUCUUCUUCAGAAAAGGUAUGAUGAAGCUACAUAUGGAGGAAAAUUCAUUGAUGGUACAAUAUUAAGAUAAAUGCUGCUUAGUAUAUUGAGAUGAGAGUCUAAAGUGGGGACAGGUAAAGCAUAUAUGUUAUACCAUUUGAGUCAAAUCUCAUAGGUAAGAUUUUUGCUUGAGUCGAUUUUAGUUUACAACAAUAUUUUUGUUUUAAAAGUAGAUUAUUGUAUGAUAAUUUUAAGCAAUCUGCAGGAUAUUACUGAAGAAAACAAAGGAACCAGAAGCUGAUGUCCACACCUUACCUUACACAGUCCUUUCUGAUACGGGCAGGAAGAAGAAAUUUUAACAAGGAACCAGGUCGAAAUUUUCAUGUGCUGGAGUCGGACCAAACAAAUUUUUAUUUGGCCUUAAAAGUCUUUAGGUUGAAUAAGAACACUGUUUGUUAUACUUUGCGGUUACUUUUUAAGAUUAGUAAUAUGCCCGAGCUCUCUUUCUUUGAAGAUGUGGUUACAUGUACACCAUCACAUUGAACAUAUCAUUUAAAGAUCAGGUGUUCUGAACACACUAACGCUUUGUUGUCCUCUACAUUUAAAGAGCAGUUAUAUCUUUUUAUCAGUUAUAU
Brassica napus (rape) is the source of this 1829-nucleotide long non-coding RNA. RefSeq lists it as uncharacterized. Lineage: Eukaryota; Viridiplantae; Streptophyta; Magnoliopsida; Brassicales; Brassicaceae. The record is from RefSeq and is a predicted model, not a curated record. The transcript has 2 exons.